CAGUCGCCACGGUAAUACGAAGGGUGCAAGCGUUACUCGGAAUUACUGGGCGUAAAGCGUGCGCAGGCGGUUUGUUAAGACAGAUGUGAAAUCCCCGGGCUCAACCUGGGAACUGCAUUUGAAACUGGCAAGCUAGAGUCUUGUAGGGGGGGUAGAAUUCCAGGUGUAGCAGUGAAAUGCGUAGAGAUCGGAAGGAACAUCUGUGGCGAAGGCGACUAUCUGGGCCAACACUGACACUGAGGCACGAAAGCGUGGGGAGCAAACAGGAUUAGAUACCCCCGUAGUCCCUGUCUCUUAUACA
This 301-nucleotide ribosomal RNA is filed under the name uncultured bacterium. RNAcentral describes it as "partial 16S ribosomal RNA". It matches the Rfam family "Bacterial small subunit ribosomal RNA", at positions 509 to 808 of the family's 1533-position model. The record is from RNAcentral.